RNAcentral lists this ribosomal RNA (467 nucleotides) under uncultured bacterium. RNAcentral's name for it is "partial 16S ribosomal RNA". It matches the Rfam family "Bacterial small subunit ribosomal RNA", at positions 28 to 506 of the family's 1533-position model. The record is from RNAcentral.
GACGAACGCUGGCGGCGUGCUUAACACAUGCAAGUCGAACGGAAAGGCCCUGCUUUUGUGGGGUGCUCGAGAGGCGAACGGGUGAGUAACACGUGAGUAACCUGCCCUUGACUUUGGGAUAACUUCAGGAAACUGGGGCUAAUACCGGAUAGGAGCUCCUGCUGCAUGGUGGGGGUUGGAAAGUUUCGGCGGUUGGGGAUGGACUCGCGGCUUAUCAGCUUGUUGGUGGGGUAGUGGCUUACCAAGGCUUUGACGGGUAGCCGGCCUGAGAGGGUGACCGGCCACAUUGGGACUGAGAUACGGCCCAGACUCCUACGGGAGGCAGCAGUGGGGACUAUUGCACAAUGGGCGGAAGCCUGAUGCAGCAACGCCGCGUGCGGGAUGACGGCCUUCGGGUUGUAAACCGCUUUCGCCUGUGACGAAGCGUGAGUGACGGUAAUGGGUAAAGAAGCACCGGCUAACUACGU